AACGAACGCUGGCGGCAUGCCUAACACAUGCAAGUCGAACGAGACCUUCGGGUCUAGUGGCGCACGGGUGCGUAACGCGUGGGAACCUGCCUUUAGGUUCGGAAUAACUCAGAGAAAUUUGAGCUAAUACCGGAUAAUGUCUUCGGACCAAAGAUUUAUCGCCUUUAGAUGGGCCCGCGUUGGAUUAGCUAGUUGGUGGGUAAAGGCCUACCAAGGCGACGAUCCAUAGCUGGUCUGAGAGGAUGAUCAGCCACACUGGGACUGAGACACGGCCCAGACUCCUACGGGAGGCAGCAGUGGGGAAUAUUGGACAAUGGGCGAAAGCCUGAUCCAGCAAUGCCGCGUGAGUGAUGAAGGCCUUAGGGGUUGUAAAGCUCUUUUACCCGAGAUGAUAAUGACAGUAUCGGGAGAAUAAGCUCCGGCUAAACUCCGUGCCAGCAGCCGCGGUAAU
RNAcentral lists this ribosomal RNA (451 nucleotides) under uncultured bacterium. RNAcentral's name for it is "bacterial SSU rRNA". It matches the Rfam family "Bacterial small subunit ribosomal RNA", at positions 29 to 524 of the family's 1533-position model. The record is from RNAcentral.